RNAcentral lists this ribosomal RNA (162 nucleotides) under Aspergillus sp. KUC21245. RNAcentral's name for it is "5.8S ribosomal RNA". The stretch from base 1 to 132 matches the Rfam family "5.8S ribosomal RNA", at positions 23 to 154 of the family's 154-position model. From Rfam's summary of the family: 5.8S ribosomal RNA (5.8S rRNA) is a component of the large subunit of the eukaryotic ribosome. It is transcribed by RNA polymerase I as part of the 45S precursor that also contains 18S and 28S rRNA. Functionally, it is thought that 5.8S rRNA may be involved in ribosome translocation. The record is from RNAcentral. Lineage: Eukaryota; Fungi; Ascomycota; Eurotiomycetes; Eurotiales; Aspergillaceae.
GGUUCCGGCAUCGAUGAAGAACGCAGCGAACUGCGAUAAGUAAUGUGAAUUGCAGAAUUCAGUGAAUCAUCGAGUCUUUGAACGCACAUUGCGCCCCCUGGCAUUCCGGGGGGCAUGCCUGUCCGAGCGUCAUUGCUGCCCAUCAAGCCCGGCUUGUGUGUU